This 358-nucleotide unclassified non-coding RNA is filed under the name uncultured fungus. Its description in RNAcentral is "sequence contains ITS1". The record is from RNAcentral. Lineage: Eukaryota; Fungi.
GAAAUGCGAUACUUGGUGUGAAUUGCAGAAUCCCACGUUGCGUCCGAAGCCAUUAGGUUGAGGGCACGUCUGCCUGGGCAUCUCACGUUGCGUCGCCCGCGCCCCCUCCCCCCCUCUACGAAGGGGGAAGAAGGGCUGCGGGUGGAUGUUGGCACCCCGCGAGCGCUCGCGUGCGGUCGGUCCAAAAGCGAGUCCCCCGUGACGGACGACGCGUCGCGAUGUGUGGUGGUUGACAAACCGUUGCGUCGCCUCGCGCGCGUCCAGUCCGUCUCGGGAGGCCUGUCGUGACCCUAUCGCGCCGCCGCCAAGGCGCUCCGAUCGCGACCCCAGGUCAGGCGGGAUUACCCGCUGAGUUUAA